GAUGAACGCUAGCGGCAGGCUUAAUACAUGCAAGCCAAGGGGGUAGCAAUACAACCGGCGCACGGGUGAGUAACGCGUACACAACAUACCAUAUACUGGGGUAUAGCUUCGGGAAACUGGAGAUAAUCCCCCAUAACAUUGCGAGAGGGCAUCUGAUUGCAAUUAAAGUUUCGACGGUAUAUGAUUGGUGUGCGUUUGAUUAGCUUGUUGGUAGGGUAACGGCCUACCAAGGCGACGAUCAAUAGCUGGCGUGAGAGCGCGACCAGCCACACUGGAACUGAGACACGGUCCAGACUCCUACGGGAGGCAGCAGUAGGGAAUAUUGGACAAUGGGCGAAAGCCUGAUCCAGCCAUGCCGCGUGAUAGAUGAAGGCCCUCUGGGUUGUAAAUAUCUUUUAUCUGGGAAGAAACUCCUCUAUUCUUAGAGGCCUGACGGUACCAGAGGAAUAAGCACCGGCUAACUCCGUGCCAGCAGCCGCGG
RNAcentral lists this ribosomal RNA (481 nucleotides) under uncultured bacterium. Its description in RNAcentral is "bacterial SSU rRNA". It matches the Rfam family "Bacterial small subunit ribosomal RNA", at positions 28 to 520 of the family's 1533-position model. The record is from RNAcentral.